RNAcentral lists this ribosomal RNA (1371 nucleotides) under uncultured bacterium. RNAcentral describes it as "bacterial SSU rRNA". It matches the Rfam family "Bacterial small subunit ribosomal RNA", at positions 28 to 1381 of the family's 1533-position model. The record is from RNAcentral.
GAUGAACGCUGGCGGCGUGCCUAAUACAUGCAAGUCGAGCGAACGGACGAGAAGCUUGCUUCUCUGAUGUUAGCGGCGGACGGGUGAGUAACACGUGGAUAACCUACCUAUAAGACUGGGAUAACUUCGGGAAACCGGAGCUAAUACCGGAUGAUAUUUUGAACCGCAUGGUUCAAAAGUGAAAGACGGUCUUGCUGUCACUUAUAGAUGGAUCCGCGCUGCAUUAGCUAGUUGGUAAGGUAACGGCUUACCAAGGCAACGAUGCAUAGCCGACCUGAGAGGGUGAUCGGCCACACUGGAACUGAGACACGGUCCAGACUCCUACGGGAGGCAGCAGUAGGGAAUCUUCCGCAAUGGGCGAAAGCCUGACGGAGCAACGCCGCGUGAGUGAUGAAGGUCUUCGGAUCGUAAAACUCUGUUAUUAGGGAAGAACAUAUGUGUAAGUAACUGUGCACAUCUUGACGGUACCUAAUCAGAAAGCCACGGCUAACUACGUGCCAGCAGCCGCGGUAAUACGUAGGUGGCAAGCGUUAUCCGGAAUUAUUGGGCGUAAAGCGCGCGUAGCGGUUUUUUAAGUCUGAUGUGAAAGCCCACGGCUCAACCGUGGAGGGUCAUUGGAAACUGGAAAACUUGAGUGCAGAAGAGGAAAGUGGAAUUCCAUGUGUAGCGGUGAAAUGCGCAGAGAUAUGGAGGAACACCAGUGGCGAAGGCGACUUUCUGGUCUGUAACUGACGCUGAUGUGCGAAAGCGUGGGGAUCAAACAGGAUUAGAUACCCUGGUAGUCCACGCCGUAAACGAUGAGUGCUAAGUGUUAGGGGGUUUCCGCCCCUUAGUGCUGCAGCUAACGCAUUAAGCACUCCGCCUGGGGGGUACGACCGCAAGGUUGAAACUCAAAGGAAUUGACGGGGACCCGCACAAGCGGUGGAGCAUGUGGUUUAAUUCGAAGCAACGCGAAGAACCUUACCAAAUCUUGACAUCCUUUGACAACUCUAGAGAUAGAGCCUUCCCCUUCGGGGGACAAAGUGACAGGUGGUGCAUGGUUGUCGUCAGCUCGUGUCGUGAGAUGUUGGGUUAAGUCCCGCAACGAGCGCAACCCUUAAGCUUAGUUGCCAUCAUUAAGUUGGGCACUCUAAGUUGACUGCCGGUGACAAACCGGAGGAAGGUGGGGAUGACGUCAAAUCAUCAUGCCCCUUAUGAUUUGGGCUACACACGUGCUACAAUGGACAAUACAAAGGGCAGCGAAACCGCGAGGUCAAGCAAAUCCCAUAAAGUUGUUCUCAGUUCGGAUUGUAGUCUGCAACUCGACUACAUGAAGCUGGAAUCGCUAGUAAUCGUAGAUCAGCAUGCUACGGUGAAUACGUUCCCGAGUCU